Small nuclear RNA from Jaculus jaculus (lesser Egyptian jerboa), 104 nucleotides. Lineage: Eukaryota; Metazoa; Chordata; Mammalia; Rodentia; Dipodidae. The record is from Ensembl.
GUGCUCACUUCGGCAGCACAUAUACUAAAAUUGGAACGAUACAGAGAUUAGUAUGGCCCCUGUGCAAGGAUACCAUGCAAAUUCAUGAAGUGUUUCAUAUUUUU